GACGAGGUGGCCGAGUGGUUAAGGCGAUGGACUGCUAAUCCAUUGUGCUCUGCACCGCGUGGGUUCGAAUCCAUCCUCGUCG
RNAcentral lists this transfer RNA (82 nucleotides) under Ovis aries (sheep). RNAcentral's name for it is "tRNA-Ser (GCT) (tRNA-Ser-GCT-8-1)". It matches the Rfam family "tRNA". Rfam says of the family: Transfer RNA (tRNA) molecules are approximately 80 nucleotides in length. Their secondary structure includes four short double-helical elements and three loops (D, anti-codon, and T loops). Lineage: Eukaryota; Metazoa; Chordata; Mammalia; Artiodactyla; Bovidae. The record is from Rfam by way of RNAcentral.